AUUUGUCAGCUGUGUGUCGAUUAAAAGAAAGACCUAUUCUAACUUCAAAGAAACGUUUUCCAACAAUCAAUCCUUUCUCUGGUCGACCCUUUCUCCUCCUAUUAUAAUUUCGUUGGAAUGGCGAAUGAGAAAUUUAAUUUAUAGAUGGGUUUUUGUCCUGCGCUCGGGAAUGUGACAAUCCCCCCAAGCCAUAUUACAAUUAUUUGUAGACUUGACCCCACCCGAGUGUGCGUUUGGACCAACUAGUAUUUGGAGUCGGCAGACCAAGAG
Tribolium madens (black flour beetle) is the source of this 270-nucleotide long non-coding RNA. RefSeq lists it as uncharacterized. NCBI's taxonomy places the organism in Eukaryota, Metazoa, Arthropoda, Insecta, Coleoptera, Tenebrionidae. The record is from RefSeq and is a predicted model, not a curated record. The transcript has 2 exons.